RNAcentral lists this ribosomal RNA (253 nucleotides) under uncultured bacterium. RNAcentral's name for it is "partial 16S ribosomal RNA". It matches the Rfam family "Bacterial small subunit ribosomal RNA", at positions 524 to 776 of the family's 1533-position model. The record is from RNAcentral.
UACAGAGGGUGCAAGCGUUGUUCGGAAUUAUUGGGCGUAAAGCGCGUGUAGGCGGCUUUGCAAGUCGGGUGUGAAAGCCCUCAGCUCAACUGAGGAAGUGCGCCCGAAACUGCAGAGCUUGAGUGCCGGAGAGGGUGGCGGAAUUCCCCAAGUAGAGGUGAAAUUCGUAGAUAUGGGGAGGAACACCAGUGGCGAAGGCGACUACCUGGCCUGUUCUUGACGCUGAGGCGCGAAAGCUAGGGGAGCAAACGGG